This 425-nucleotide ribosomal RNA is filed under the name uncultured bacterium. RNAcentral's name for it is "partial 16S ribosomal RNA". It matches the Rfam family "Bacterial small subunit ribosomal RNA", at positions 354 to 796 of the family's 1533-position model. The record is from RNAcentral.
GUGGUGAAUCUUAGACAAUGGGCGCAAGCCUGAUCUAGCCAUGCCGCGUGAGCGAUGAAGGCCUUAGGGUUGUAAAGCUCUUUCAGGGGGGAAGAUAAUGACGGUACCCCCAGAAGAAGCCCCGGCUAACUCCGUGCCAGCAGCCGCGGUAAUACGGAGGGGGCUAGCGUUGUUCGGAAUUACUGGGCGUAAAGCGCACGUAGGCGGACCAGAAAGUCAGGGGUGAAAUCCCGGGGCUCAACCCCGGAACUGCCUUUGAAACUCCUGGUCUUGAGGUCGAGAGAGGUGAGUGGAAUUCCGAGUGUAGAGGUGAAAUUCGUAGAUAUUCGGAGGAACACCAGUGGCGAAGGCGGCUCACUGGCUCGAUACUGACGCUGAGGUGCGAAAGCGUGGGGAGCAAACAGGAUUAGAAACCCCUGUAGUCC